Anas platyrhynchos (mallard) is the source of this 2181-nucleotide non-coding RNA. The record is from RefSeq and is a predicted model, not a curated record. Lineage: Eukaryota; Metazoa; Chordata; Aves; Anseriformes; Anatidae.
UUCCAAAAGCUGCACACUGCGCAGCCCAGGCGCUUUCCUGGUAGCUCCUGGAAGUGUUUGGGCCUGAUUCUGCCCCCGAAGCUCGCGAUCCGGAGAGCAGCUCUGGAGCUGCAGGAAUAUAAAUAAGGGAGAAGCAGGCCCUGCCAGAGGAUACCAAAACAAACAGAGGAUAAACCAGCCUGGGAAAUUUGACUCUGAGAUAGCACGGGGAGAACUCUUUGAGUUAAAACUGUGGAAAGACGGGGCAUUCGCCUUUCAAGAAGAGUCGAUUUUUGCAGCCCUCCCACCAGCAGGACCGGGAGCGACGGCGAGGGAUCGGCGUCACAUACCAGCAGAGUUACCGCUCACUCUAGAGAGUUUCCAUCGGAUCGGGACAGAGUUUUGCUUUCUGCCCCCACACACACACAGCCCUGGCUUGUCACUGCUGAUUCACCCCCAAAAUACCAGCAGCUGGGCAGUAUCUGCUCCGGGUUGUCCCAUUGCCCCCAGCAGCAAAUCAAGACAGAAAAGAAAUUGCCUUUGCAACGGCAACUUUUGAUGGCACUGAGGUUCCUGAAUCGUUCAGGGUGGCAGUGCACAGCCGGGAUCAGAUCAACAAGCCUGCUUCCCAGCAUCAGCUCUGCCCUCAACACGUGGUGGGACCCUGCCAGCCUCUAAAAUACAGACUUAGGAAUAAAUCAGGAAAACAAACCCGCAGUUUUGCUGCGUGCAUUUCCCCACAACCUGGAAGCCAGUAUAAUUUUGCUGCUGAGGAGAUGGAACAGAGACCUCCUGUGCCAUUGCACCAGGUACAGAGCAUCGCCAGCUUCUGCCCCUCAGUCCCACCGGAGAGGGACACAGGCUGUGAGCCCAGCACAUGCAGGAGACACAAACGUGGCUGUGGGAUACAUGCAAAGCCCUCACAGCACAGCCACCAGCAAAGCCCUGACCCAGGCUGGGACCUCUCUUCCCCGGCAGCUGCUGGAUGCAGCACAUAGGGAUGCUUUCCCGGUGGUGGCCCAGGGGCCACAGCUGGUUUGGAAGAUGCCCGUACAGACGUGCAUGGGGGUGUACAUCAGGAGCUGGGACAAAUUCAGAAGAUCCUCAUUCCCGUGCAUUACAGAAGACGGGAUGAAGAUUCUAGCCAAAACCAGGGAACCAAAGGAACCAGCUGACAACAGCAGGAUCAGCAGGGACACUGCAAAGACUCCAGAAAACCCCAGACCUAGGUUGUACCUGGCAGUGGGACCGGCCAGGUACGGGCAAAGCUCAGGGCUCUUGUUGGACCUAAUCAGCAAAUAAUCAAAAAAUAAUCUGCUUCUGAGAGUGCAGAGCAGAUCUUACAUUAAGGCUCCUGAGGCUGUCAGUGGAGACAAACACCUCCGGUCCCCCCUCACCUGGCACAGCAUGACAUGGUGCCCGAGAGAGGACUGCUGGGCUUGGCUCCCCCUUCUUAGACUUUCAAACCUUAAAAUAAAUUUGCCCGGCCUGGGUUACCUUGUUGCCACUGAAUUCAAGGCAGCAGUAGAAAUGACCAAGCUGAACACAAAACCUUUCUUUUCUCCCCUCCUCUCUCUCUCUUCCCCUUCUCUUCCUGCUGCUAUGCUUACUUAACCUCCAGGUACCCGCUUAAAUAACUCAACUAAAUAGCAAUAAUGAACGGACAGAGUCAACACUGUGGUACAUAAUCACCUUGUCUGUUGUGUUUAACGUCAGUGAUCCCUUCUUUGCGUGCAUGACAUUCUUCAGCCUUCGUCUACGUUAAGGAUUUGCUUUUCACUUUGUUUGCAUUUGACUACUAAUAUUGCACCGAUGCACACCGCGGUUUCUCACUGUUAAGUGCAGGUCCUUCCAUACAGCCUAUUCCACCAGGAAUUUCUAGGGAAUUUUAGGAAGCAGGAGGAAUUGCCCAGUUCACUUUACAUCCCCAACUCCCAUUCCUAUUUCCUAAUAUACUUGUGCAAACGGGUGUGCAAAGCACCAGCUGUUUACUCCCAUGAGUGACUCCCUGAGAGCGUUACAGACCCUCAAACGGUGCUGCUCUAAAACACCAAUUCUACAAUUAGUUGCAAAAGGGAAACAGGAACUGCUAAAGUUUCACAUCUUUAUAGCUGCCAGAAGUAUUUUUACAGGAAGGGUCUACGAUGUUACCGUUGUGAAAAUAUUUAACUUUAAGAUUUGAAAAGAGACUCUUUUAACAAA